This 511-nucleotide ribosomal RNA is filed under the name uncultured bacterium. RNAcentral describes it as "bacterial SSU rRNA". It matches the Rfam family "Bacterial small subunit ribosomal RNA", at positions 19 to 518 of the family's 1533-position model. The record is from RNAcentral.
CUGGCUCAGGAUGAACGCUAGCUACAGGCUUAACACAUGCAAGUCGAGGGGCAGCAUGAGAUUAGCUUGCUAAUCUUGAUGGCGACCGGCGCACGGGUGAGUAACGCGUAUCCAACCUUCCCCUUAGUAGGGCAUAGCCCGGCGAAAGUCGGAUUAAUACCCUAUGUUCUUCGUAGAGGACAUCUGAAAUGAAGCAAAGAUUUAUCGCUAAGGGAUGGGGAUGCGUCUGAUUAGGUAGUCGGCGGGGUAACGGCCCACCGAGCCUGCGAUCAGUAGGGGUUCUGAGAGGAAGGUCCCCCACAUUGGAACUGAGACACGGUCCAAACUCCUACGGGAGGCAGCAGUGAGGAAUAUUGGUCAAUGGGCGCGAGCCUGAACCAGCCAAGUAGCGUGCAAGGAUGACGGCCCUAUGGGUUGUAAACUGCUUUUAUGCGGGGAUAAAGUGCACCACGUGUGGUGUUUUGUAGGUACCGCAUGAAUAAGGACCGGCUAAUUCCGUGCCAGCCGCAGC